RNAcentral lists this ribosomal RNA (2514 nucleotides) under Triticum aestivum (bread wheat). Its description in RNAcentral is "partial small subunit ribosomal RNA". Lineage: Eukaryota; Viridiplantae; Streptophyta; Magnoliopsida; Poales; Poaceae. The record is from RNAcentral.
GCGAGAUAGGGGGCGCUCUCGAAAAUCUGGUUUGACGCGAGAAGCUGGCCGCCGGCAGGCCGCGGAAGAGUCGGGAAGUUGGCGGCCGUGGUCCGUGGAGCACUCCCGAAGGGCCCCUGAAGCCAAACCAAACUCCACGCAUAACCUUUUCUGACUCAUGGGGCCCUCUCCGUCGCCGCCGCAGCCGCCACCGCCGCUUCCGGCGACCGGCCGCCUCCUCGUGCUCUACGCGUCGCAGACCGGCAACGCCAUGGACGCCGCCGAACGUGUUGGGCGCGAGGCCGAGCGCGGUGGCUGCCCGGCCGUCGACGUCCUCUCCAUGGACAGCUUUGACCCCAGUUGCUUGCCGGGCGAAAUGUCCGUGGUGUUCGUCGUGUCCACCACGGGGCAGGGCGAUCCCCCGGAUUCCAUGAAGGGGUUUUGGAGAUACCUUCUUAAGAAGGACCUUGGUGCCAGGUGGCUGGAAGGGCUCCGUUUUGCCGUAUUUGGGCUCGGCGAUUCGGGCUACCAGAAGUACAAUUUACCUGCAAAGAAGAUCGAUAGAAGGCUUUUACAACUUGGUGCAGAAAUAAUCAUAGAGAUAGGCUUGGGAGAUGACCAACACCCUUCAGGAUAUGAAGGAGCUCUAGAUCCUUGGUUGCUGUCUUUGUGGGAAUCGCUGAAUAAAGCAAAUCCGUCACUUCUACCAAGAAUAACUGAUAUCAUUAAUCCUAAUUUGAAUUAUUUGGGGGAUUCAAAGAUCGAAGUCAUAUAUUACUCUUGCAAUGAUACCCCUCCAGAUUCCAUUGUUUCAGACUCCAAGAAAUUAAUCAAGAGAGCACGCUUAAUGUCCCCUGCUCUGAAGUUCCAUAGUGAUGGAGAGCCACAAUACAUGUUAAAGAUGGUAACAAAUCAGCGUUUGACUAAGGAGGAUUAUGAGAAAGAUGUGCGCCACUUUGAAUUGGAAGAUCCAUCUUCAGGGAUCAGCUAUCAAGUUGGCGAUGCGUUAGAAAUUCUACCAAGUCAGAAUCCAUCAGCUGUUAAUGCUUUCAUUGAACGCUGUAACUUGGAUCCAGAUUGUUACAUAACGAUUAGAGCAAAGGGAGGGGAUGAAGUUCCCAACGGUUCACUUCUGAAUGGCUCGAUGGGUCGCAUCAAGUUAAGCACCUUUGUUGCUUUGACAAUGGAUGUUGCAUCAGCUUCCCCUCGUCGGUAUUUCUUUGAGAUCAUGAGCCAUUUUGCAACAGCUGAACAUGAAAAGGAAAGGCUUCAGUAUUUUGCUUCUCCUGAAGGUAGAGAUGACCUCUACCAGUACAAUCAAAAGGAGAGUCGGACUGUUCUAGAAGUACUGGAGGAUUUUCCCUCGGUGCACAUGCCUUUUGAAUGGCUGGUGCAACUAACUCCUCCAUUGAAGAAACGGGCCUUUUCCAUAUCAUCAUCGCCAUUAGUACAUCCAAAUCAGAUACACUUGACUGUUAGUAUUGUAUCAUGGCUUACUCCUUUCAAGAGGACAAGGCAGGGUCUCUGCUCCACAUGGCUGGCAGGUCUCAGUCCAAAUGAAGAAAAUCUUAUACCAUGUUGGGUACACAAAGGAUCCCUGCCUCCUCCCAAGCCAUCGAUUCCUCUUGUACUUAUUGGACCAGGAACAGGAUGUGCACCAUUUCGAGCAUUUGUGGAGGAAAGGGCUGCACAGAGUGCGAGAGAAUCAACAGCUCCCAUUCUGUUCUUUUUUGGCUGUAGAAAUGAAGACAACGAUUUUCUGUACAAGGACUUCUGGUUGAAGCAUGCCCAGGACAAGGGAGUGCUGUCCCUGAAAGAGGGCGGUGGUUUCUUUGUUGCCUUUUCCAGGGAUCAGCCUCAAAAGGUCUAUGUACAACAUAAGAUAAAGGAGCAGAGUGCAAGAGUGUGGAACAUAUUAUGCUCUGGGGCUGCAAUAUACGUUGCAGGGUCUUCUACCAAAAUGCCUGCUGAUGUUACAGCUGCACUAGAAGAAGUUAUCCGCCAAAAAGGUGGUGAGGCUGCUUCAGGAUGGCUCAGGAAACUGGAAAGGGCUGGUAAAUUUAACAUUGAAACGUGGUCGUGAUUUUUCAGUCAAACAGGGCAAGAAAGUAUGUGCGAACAAUCUAUCGUGCUCCGCAGUUAUUUAUGGGGUAGCAAUUCAGCGUAGAUCAAAGAUUUCAAGAAAGUAGAUGUAUAUCUGCACAUAAAUACAGAUAAACAAUCAUUUAUUCUUCGACAGUAAAAAUCACAAGGGAAAUCAAACACAUCCCCUGUUUCACUGUUGUAUCUGUAUUCGGGAUGAUGUAGGUUUGGUUCAAAGAUGAAGAGUGGUGACUUAAUUUUAUGAAGUGGGAUGAAAACAAGUGAAAUCAGGUGAGAGCAGUAGUUGCUGUAUUUGACGUGGUUUUAAUUUGUGACACUCUGUUCAAUUUGUUGACCUUAUGAUGUAGGAGUAUUAUCUAAUCUGUACUCAAUGGCCAGUCUUGAAUAUUUACUAUGACGCCCUAUGAUCAUUCAGGAUUUCCGUUUGAAGAG